RNAcentral lists this ribosomal RNA (465 nucleotides) under uncultured bacterium. Its description in RNAcentral is "partial 16S ribosomal RNA". It matches the Rfam family "Bacterial small subunit ribosomal RNA", at positions 338 to 795 of the family's 1533-position model. The record is from RNAcentral.
CCUACGGGUGGCAGCAGUGGGGAAUAUUGCGCAAUGGGCGAAAGCCUGACGCAGCGACGCCGCGUGAGGGAUGAAUGUCUUCGGAUCGUUAACCUCUGUCAGCAGGGAAGAACGGUCACUGUGCUAAUCAGCAGUGAAUUGACGGUACCUGCAAGGGAAGCACCGGCUAACUCCGUGCCAGCAGCCGCGGCAAUACGGAGGGUGCGAGCGUUAAUCGGAAUUACUGGGCGGAAAGCGAGCGUAGGUGGUAUGUCAAGUCAAGGGUGAAAUCCCCGGGCUCAACGUGGGAACUGCCUUUGAAACUGGCAAACUGGAGUGUGUGAGAGGAUAGUGGAAUUCCAGGUGUAGGAGUGAAAUGCGUAGAUAUCUGGAGGAACAUCAGUGGCGAAGGCGACUAUCUGGCACAUAACUGACGCUGAGGAGCGAAAGCGUGGGUAGCAAACAGGAUUAGAUACCCUGGUAGUC